UUGAGUGGAAAGCCGAGUCCUGCCGCCGCUCAGGGUCCCGCUAGAUGACGACGGCAGGGACGGGGGAACCACAGAUUGUGGGCACAGCAACCAGGUGCCCUUGGGGUGAAGUCCCGGGAGCGCAGCAGCGCGAACGGGGCCGGGCUAUCUCCAGCUCGAACCCGACAGCUCACCUCGUAGGCUCAACGGAGAGGUACC
RNAcentral lists this small RNA (198 nucleotides) under Actinotalea bogoriensis. Its description in RNAcentral is "Cellulomonas bogoriensis c-di-AMP sequence". It matches the Rfam family "c-di-AMP riboswitch aptamer (ydaO/yuaA leader)". Rfam says of the family: This family represents a conserved RNA structure found upstream of the ydaO and yuaA genes in Bacillus subtilis and related genes in other bacteria. Lineage: Bacteria; Bacillati; Actinomycetota; Actinomycetes; Micrococcales; Cellulomonadaceae. The record is from RNAcentral. RNAcentral also lists the same sequence under 1 other name.